UACAGAGGGUGCGAGCGUUGUCCGGAUUCAUUGGGUGUAAAGGGUCCGUAGGUGGUCAAGCAAGUCUGAUGUGAAAUCCCAUGGCUCAACCGUGGAACUGCAUUGGAAACUGCCUGACUUGAGUAUCGCAGAGGUGAAGGGAAUUCCCGGUGUAAGGGUGAAAUCUGUAGAUAUCGGGAGGAACACCAGUGGCGAAAGCGCUUCACUGGGCGAUUACUGACACUGAGGGACGAAAGCAAGGGGAGCAAACAGG
This 253-nucleotide ribosomal RNA is filed under the name uncultured bacterium. RNAcentral's name for it is "partial 16S ribosomal RNA". It matches the Rfam family "Bacterial small subunit ribosomal RNA", at positions 524 to 776 of the family's 1533-position model. The record is from RNAcentral.